This 115-nucleotide ribosomal RNA is filed under the name Staphylococcus aureus. RNAcentral's name for it is "partial 16S ribosomal RNA". It matches the Rfam family "Bacterial small subunit ribosomal RNA", at positions 1420 to 1533 of the family's 1533-position model. The record is from RNAcentral. Lineage: Bacteria; Bacillati; Bacillota; Bacilli; Caryophanales; Staphylococcaceae.
CCCGAAGCCGGUGGAGUAACCUUUUAGGAGCUAGCCGUCGAAGGUGGGACAAAUGAUUGGGGUGAAGUCGUAACAAGGUAGCCGUAUCGGAGGGUGCGGCUGGAUCACCUCCUUU